AUCAUCCAGCUUAUCGAUCUCGAUUUGAGUCAAACCAAUCCUUAGCGACAACAUAUUAAUGCUAGAGGAAGGGUCCUGACCCCCUCAUCAAAGAUUUUGCUUAAAUAACAAUCAUCAAACAAUAUAGAAUGAUAAAAGUAGUGCCAUCCGACACUCAACCCAAUACUCCUACAAAGUUCGACGGCUCUAUCCAGAGUCCUCAGAGAGUUCUACUUCUUUUAAAAGUGCAGAUAGCUCCAGUGAUUACCGCCAAGUAAUUCUAACUCCUCUUAUAGCAAGUUCAAGCAAUAACCACAAUGAUGCAAGGCCUGUAGUAGGUAGCUACACAACAUCAGUAGCAACAGUGGGAGACUCACAUGCGAGACAAUCAAGGAGCCCUAGAAUG
This 385-nucleotide long non-coding RNA is filed under the name Elaeis guineensis (African oil palm). RNAcentral's name for it is "long non-coding RNA (EGUI_LNC069618)". Lineage: Eukaryota; Viridiplantae; Streptophyta; Magnoliopsida; Arecales; Arecaceae. The record is from RNAcentral.